ACCUGCCUUAUAGAGGGGGAUAACUAUUGGAAACGAUAGCUAAUACCGCAUAACAACUUAGUACUCAUGUACUAAGUUUAAAAGUAGCAAUUGCUACGCUGUGAGAUGGAUCCGCGUUGUAUUAGCUAGUUGGUAAGGUAACGGCUUACCAAGGCGAUGAUACAUAGCCGACCUGAGAGGGUGAUCGGCCACACUGGGACUGAGACACGGCCCAGACUCCUACGGGAGGCAGCAGUGGGGAAUAUUGGACAAUGGGGGCAACCCUGAUCCAGCAAUGCCGCGUGUGUGAAGAAGGUCUUCGGAUUGUAAAACACUUUCGUUGGGGACGAUGAUGACGGUACCCAAAGAAGAAGCCCCGGCUAACUUCGUGCCAGCAGCCGCGGUAAUACGAAGGGGGCGAGCGUUGCUCGGAAUAACUGGGCGUAAAGGGCGCGUANGCGGCCGAUAGCUGUCAGAUGUGAAAUUUUUGGGCUCAACCC
This 479-nucleotide ribosomal RNA is filed under the name uncultured Streptococcaceae bacterium. RNAcentral describes it as "bacterial SSU rRNA". It matches the Rfam family "Bacterial small subunit ribosomal RNA", at positions 124 to 615 of the family's 1533-position model. The record is from RNAcentral. Lineage: Bacteria; Bacillati; Bacillota; Bacilli; Lactobacillales; Streptococcaceae.